UUAAAUGUUGCAUCCCUUGGAUAGGCAGGUCUUUAUGAAACAGACACUAAAAGUGGGAAUGCUCUUGAGGGGUUGGGGUGGCCACUGUUCAGCUUUGUCUCAGGGCUGCACAGCACAUGUGUAACAUCUGUAAUGGGGUUGCCCUGGUUUCAUCUCCCCGGCUUGUUUGGGUGCAGGGAUAGUGAGCAACACUGUAGUACUUAGUAUGUCAGGACUAGUGGUGAGCCAUGGAGGCGUUGGGUCUGGGGUAAAGAGUCAUGGCUAUCUCAGAGAUAGAACAUAUGAUUUCAUCCCAUUCUUUCAUGAGCAAACUGGAAACAGAAGGAAAUUCUAAACAUACAAGUCCCUCAGCUAGGGCUGGGGGACGUGGCUUAUUGAUGGAAUAUUUGCCUAAUAUUUGCAAAGCUAGAUUUGAUUCCCAGUGCUGUCAGGGUGAGGGGAGUGGCUGCACAGGCAACAGCAUAAAGCUCUUGAUUUGGCUGUUCCUUCCACUUGGUGCUGUAAGCUGUGUUCAGGCAGUUGGGAAGAAAAUGAUAAGAUUGUGUCUAGGAAGUUGCAAAUCUAUAAGGCAGCCAGUGAGUGAAUAAAGUUGUAGGGUAGAAAUGAUAGAGUUCUCUAGAACAGAACUUAAUGAAUUAUAAAAGGGAUUUAUUGGACUUGCUUGUAGACUGCAGUACAACUGGUCCAACAGUGGCUGUCUACCCAUGGAAAGUCCCAAAGCCUGGAUGUCUUGGUCUUCAGUAGUACAAUCCCAAGGAAAUGGUUCUCUUGCCAGCAAGAGCAAGAUGGCAAAGAGCAAGUUUCUGUCUUGCAUGUGCUUUAUAUAGGCUGCUAGUAGAAGGCCCAGAUUAAAGAUGGAUCUUCCCACCUCAAAAGAUGGGUUAAAAGUGUGUCUUAUGGGUUGGGACAGGAUAUUAAGCUAGUUGUACCACCUAAGUGAAUUUGGGCCUCCUAAAAAGUCUAGUGGUAUAGUUCAAACAUGCUAAUUUUGUGUGCUGCAGGGAGCCUUGAAUAGCCAAAAUCUUCAAAGUAAGACGUUUAAGGUCUAGGUAGCUGCCAAAGCUGUGAUAAGAGUACAGUAGGUAUGGACUGAGUAGAGAUGGGAAUUGAAAGAGAAGCCCUUGACUAGGGAGAUAAGGUUGAUAGGCAUUAAAGAAAGCAUCUAAAUGAAACAAUGUUGAGACAGGAAUGACAACAGACCUCUACCUCACUCCAUUCUUCUCACUCAAUCUAGGAUAGAUAAAAAGAUGUACUGAUUAUAAGAAAUAAAAGUCAGGACUGGAGGGAUGGCUCAGUGGUUAAGAGCACUCACUGCUCUUCCAGAGGUCCUGAGUUCAAUUCCCAGCAACCACAUGGUGGCUCACAACCAUCUGUAAUGGGAUCUGAUGCCCUGCUCUGGUGUGUCUGAAGACAGCAACAGUGUACUUACAUAUAUAAAAUAAAUAAAUACAAACC
This 1455-nucleotide long non-coding RNA is filed under the name Rattus norvegicus (Norway rat). Its description in RNAcentral is "long non-coding RNA NONRATT019682". The record is from RNAcentral. Lineage: Eukaryota; Metazoa; Chordata; Mammalia; Rodentia; Muridae.